This 174-nucleotide small RNA is filed under the name Gopherus agassizii (Agassiz's desert tortoise). RNAcentral's name for it is "TUC338 (ENSGAGG00000024187.1)". The record is from RNAcentral. Lineage: Eukaryota; Metazoa; Chordata; Testudines; Testudinidae.
UUCACAGCUGUGGAGACUGAAGUUCUCUUUUUAAUCAAGGGACAGGUAUAGUAUGGCAGCAUCAGUACAGCCUUCCUCAGCACUGCCCUGGACUCAAGCUCACUUAGGCUAUUGGAGAGGUCCCCAGGAGGGUUGUGUGUGUGGUUCAGUCACCUUGCUCUUUUGUUGGCCUCU